RNAcentral lists this ribosomal RNA (399 nucleotides) under uncultured Alphaproteobacteria bacterium. Its description in RNAcentral is "bacterial SSU rRNA". It matches the Rfam family "Bacterial small subunit ribosomal RNA", at positions 1 to 433 of the family's 1533-position model. The record is from RNAcentral. Lineage: Bacteria; Pseudomonadati; Pseudomonadota; Alphaproteobacteria.
UAGUGAGUUUGAUCCUGGCUCAGAACGAACGCUGGCGGCAGGCCUAACACAUGCAAGUCGAGCGCCCCGCAAGGGGAGCGGCGGACGGGUGAGUAACGCGUGGGAACGUGCCCCUUUCUACGGAAUAGCCUCGGGAAACUGGGAGUAAUACCGUAUAAGCCCUACGGGGGAAAGAUUUAUCGGGAAGGGAUCGGCCCGCGUUGGAUUAGGUAGUUGGUGGGGUAAUGGCCUACCAAGCCGACGAUCCAUAGCUGGUUUGAGAGGAUGAUCAGCCACACUGGGGACUGAGACACGGCCCAGACUCCUACGGGAGGCAGCAGUGGGGAAUUUGGACAAUGGGGCGCAAGCCUGAUCCAGCAAUGCCGCGUGCAGGAUGAAGGCCUUCGGGUUGUAAACUGC